UAGCGUAUAUUAAAGUUGUUGCAGUUAAAACGCUCGUAGUCGGAUUUCGGGGCGGCUUCGCCGGUCUGCCGAUGGGUAUGCACUGGCGAGGGCGUCCUUCCUUCCGGAGACUGGCCCUACUCUUAACUGAGCGGGGUCGGGAGUCGGAUCGUUUACUUUGAAAAAAUCAGAGUGUUUCAAGCAGGCAUAUCGUUCUUGCAUGGAUUAGCAUGGGAUAAUGAAAUAGGACUUUGGUGCUAUUUUGUUGGUUUCGAACACCGAAGUAAUGAUUAACAGGGACAGUCAGGGGCACUCGUAUUCCGCCGAGAGAGGUGAAAUUCUCAGACCAGCGGAAGACGAACUACUGCGAAAGCAUUUG
This 358-nucleotide ribosomal RNA is filed under the name Haptophyta environmental samples. RNAcentral's name for it is "SSU rRNA". It matches the Rfam family "Eukaryotic small subunit ribosomal RNA", at positions 595 to 957 of the family's 1831-position model. Lineage: Eukaryota; Haptophyta. The record is from RNAcentral.